Molecule: ribosomal RNA, 301 nt
Filed under: uncultured bacterium
Lineage: Bacteria
Description: partial 16S ribosomal RNA
Rfam family: Bacterial small subunit ribosomal RNA
Source: RNAcentral
CAGUAGCCGCGGUAAUACGUAGGGUGCGAGCGUUAAUCGGAAUUACUGGGCGUAAAGCGGGCGCAGACGGUUACUUAAGCAGGAUGUGAAAUCCCCGGGCUCAACCUGGGAAUUGCGUUCUGAACUGGGUGGCUAGAGUGUGUCAGAGGGGGGUAGAAUUCCACGUGUAGCAGUGAAAUGCGUAGAGAUGUGGAGGAAUACCGAUGGCGAAGGCAGCCCCCUGGGAUAGCACUGACGUUCAUGCCCGAAAGCGUGGGUAGCAAACAGGAUUAGAUACCCGCGUAGUCCCUGUCUCUUAUAC